Molecule: long non-coding RNA, 1177 nt
Organism: Camelus dromedarius (Arabian camel)
Lineage: Eukaryota; Metazoa; Chordata; Mammalia; Artiodactyla; Camelidae
Exons: 7
Source: RefSeq, a predicted model, not a curated record
CCUUUACUUGUUGGGAAAGGCGGGCUCUUAAAGCGCUCGGCUCCCACCCUUCCUCUCCAUGGGCUCUGCGCUUGACGCCGUGGCCAAUCACAGGCCGCGUCGUGUCACAGCAGCCAAUCUGAAAGGCCAGGGGCAUAAAGACGAGCACUUGGCCGCUCGUUCGUCUCUGUUCGAGGGUGGUUAGUGGAUUUAGCUGUCAAAGACUUGUUUUUUUCCGCUGUGGUUAAAUCCAGUGCCAUCGCGCUUCUUGUGAGGCCCAGCCAGAGAAUGCGAAGGGAGAGGCCGGACCAAAGUUGAGGCGAAUCCAGAGGCAUGCCGUUCCCUGAUGCAGAGAUAAUGAAUGUAGAAGCUAGUGGAAUGGUUGACCAUAGGUAUGUGACCUCAUAGGAGCUUGAAUAAGAAUCUGAUGUGAAGAUACGUCGACUUUUAGUUGAACGAACGCUUUUCUGCAGGAUCAUUUGCUGCAGUGGAGGAAUUAAGGAAAUAAGUUUAUCCAGAUUCCAGCCGCAAAGAUUCAUCUCAAGGGAUUAUAUUCUUGGAAAUGUCAGAAGAAGAUUCCUGGGUCUUGGAAGUCACUUACUCAAAGUAUGCAGAGGAGUGGGCAGAGGAGGUAGAGGAGAGACAUCAGCUUCCAAACUGUCUCACUUGGCAAGCCUCAGUUCUUUGAUGGCUGUUGGCUGAAGACGUCAGUUCUUCCUCACCAUGUGAACCUCCCCAUGGGCUGCCUGAGUAUCCUUAUAAUAUGACAGUUGGCUUUCCCGGAGGGAAUGAUCACAGAGAGAAAGGCCAAGAUGGAAGCUUGUCUUUUAAAAGUUACUCUAGAAAGUGACAAAACAUCACUUCUGCCUUGCUUUACUGGUCACAGAGACUAAUCCUGGUGCAGUAUAGGUGGACACUAUACAAAGGAAUAGAAUUGAAGGGUGUUUUUCUUAGAGAACAUCAUUUGUCAGAUUCAUCAAGAAUUUAGAGAUUUGUAAUAAGAUGCAGUGCACCGUUGCAACACACAUGAUGCAUGAAUAUCAGUUUUCACAGUGUAGUUAAACAACACCUGACCUGCAACAACACAGCUGAACUUUUAGUUGUCACAAUAUUAACUGAAUUAUUGCAUAAACUUUGCUGCUCGCUCUUUAUUCCACAAAUCAUUAUGCAAAUAAAAGAUGUGCAUCAUGAACAAGAA